RNAcentral lists this ribosomal RNA (363 nucleotides) under Tenuilapotamon latilum. Its description in RNAcentral is "partial large subunit ribosomal RNA". Lineage: Eukaryota; Metazoa; Arthropoda; Malacostraca; Decapoda; Potamidae. The record is from RNAcentral.
GUUUGUUUGGAGUUAUAAAGAAUUUGACCUGCCCCCUGAUUAACAAUUAAAGGGCCGCAGUAUUAUAACUGUGCAAAGGUAGCAUAAUCAUUAGGUUUUUAAUUGGAAUCUUGCAUGAAUGGUUGGACAAAAGAAAGACUCUCUUUAUAUUAAAUUUUGAAUUUAACUUUUAAGUGAAAAGGCUUAAAUAUUCUAAAGGGACGAUAAGACCCUAUAAAACUUUACAUUGUGAUUAAUUUUAGUUGAAUUUGUAAAAUAAGAAUUUUAUUUGGUUAUUUGUUAUGUUGGGGAGACAUAAGUAAAAUAGUAUUUUAACUGCUUAAUAAUUAUACAAUUAUUAGUGAGUAAUAGAAGAUCCUUUUU